RNAcentral lists this transfer RNA (73 nucleotides) under Rhodospirillaceae bacterium. RNAcentral describes it as "tRNA-Asn". It matches the Rfam family "tRNA". From Rfam's summary of the family: Transfer RNA (tRNA) molecules are approximately 80 nucleotides in length. Their secondary structure includes four short double-helical elements and three loops (D, anti-codon, and T loops). Lineage: Bacteria; Pseudomonadati; Pseudomonadota; Alphaproteobacteria; Rhodospirillales; Rhodospirillaceae. The record is from RNAcentral.
UCCUCAGUAGCUCAGUGGUGAGAGCGAAUGGCUGUUAACCAUUAGGUCGUUGGUUCAAAUCCAACCUGGGGAG